GGCCCGCACAAGCGGUGGAGUAUGUGGUUUAAUUCGAUGCAACGCGAAGAACCUUACCAGGGUUUGACAUCCUGCGAAUCUCUUGGAAACAGGAGAGUGCCUUCGGGAACGCAGUGACAGGUGGUGCAUGGCUGUCGUCAGCUCGUGUCGUGAGAUGUUGGGUUAAGUCCCGCAACGAGCGCAACCCACGUCUUUAGUUGCCAGCAUUUAGUUGGGCACUCUAGAGAGACUGCCGGUGAUAAACCGGAGAAGGUGUGGAUGACGUCAAGUCAUCAUGCCCCUUACAUCUGGGCUACACACGUACUACAAUGCUACGGACAGAGGGCAGCAAGUUCGCGAGGACAAGCAAAUCCCCAUAAACCGUGGCUCAGUUCAGA
This 377-nucleotide ribosomal RNA is filed under the name uncultured bacterium. RNAcentral's name for it is "bacterial SSU rRNA". It matches the Rfam family "Bacterial small subunit ribosomal RNA", at positions 918 to 1297 of the family's 1533-position model. The record is from RNAcentral.